GCAAGUCGAACGCGGAGACCCAGCAAUGGGUUUGUAGCGUGGCAAACGGGUGAGUAACGCGUGGGCGACCUACCUUCGAGCGGGGGAUAACCUUCCGAAAGGAGGGCUAAUACCGCAUGACAUCCCGUGUUUAGAUACACGGAGAUCAAAGCCGGGGAUCGCAAGACCUGGCACUUGAAGAGGGGCCCGCGUCCGAUUAGCUAGUUGGCGAGGUAAUGGCUCACCAAGGCUCCGAUCGGUAUCCGGCCUGAGAGGGCGGACGGACACACUGGAACUGAGACACGGUCCAGACUCCUACGGGAGGCAGCAGUGGGGAAUUGUUCGCAAUGGGCGCAAGCCUGACGACGCAACGCCGCGUGGAGGAUGAAGACCUUCGGGUCGUAAACUCCUUUCGACCGAGAUGAAGAGGCUCCGACCUAACACGUCGGAGUCCUGACAGUAUCGAGGGAAGCAGCCCCGGCUAACUCCGUGCCAGCAGCCGCGGUAAUACGGGGGGGGCAAGCGUUGUUCGGAAUUACUGGGCGUAAAGGGUUUGUAGGUGGCCGACUAAGUCAGACGUGAAAUCCCUCAGCUUAACUGGGGAACUGCGUCUGGGACUGGUCGGCUUGAGGGCCGGAGAGGAACGCGGAAUUCCAGGUGUAGCGGUGAAAUGCGUAGAUAUCUGGAGGAACACCGGUGGCCAAAGCC
This 687-nucleotide ribosomal RNA is filed under the name uncultured Acidobacteriota bacterium. RNAcentral describes it as "bacterial SSU rRNA". It matches the Rfam family "Bacterial small subunit ribosomal RNA", at positions 57 to 723 of the family's 1533-position model. Lineage: Bacteria; Pseudomonadati; Acidobacteriota. The record is from RNAcentral.